GCCUCAAUAGCUCAGUUGGUAGAGCGCCAGUUUCGUAAACUGGAGGUCGAGAGUUCAAUCCUCCCUUGAGGCU
Molecule: transfer RNA, 73 nt
Filed under: uncultured archaeon
Lineage: Archaea
Description: tRNA-Thr(cgt)
Rfam family: tRNA
About the family: Transfer RNA (tRNA) molecules are approximately 80 nucleotides in length. Their secondary structure includes four short double-helical elements and three loops (D, anti-codon, and T loops).
Source: RNAcentral